AUUGAACGCUGGCGGCAGGCCUAACACAUGCCAGUCGAACGGUAACAGGAAGAAGCUUGCUUCUUUGCUGACGAGUGGCGGACGGGUGGGUAAUGUCUGGGAAACUGCCUGAUGGAGGGGGAUAACUACUGGAAACGGUAGCUAAUACCGCAUAACGUCGCAAGACCAAAGAGGGGGACCUUCGGGCCUCUUGCCAUCGGAUGUGCCCAGAUGGGAUUAGCUAGUAGGUGGGGUAACGGCUCACCUAGGCGACGAUCCCUAGCUGGUCUGAGAGGAUGACCAGCCACACUGGAACUGAGACACGGUCCAGACUCCUACGGGAGGCAGCAGUGGGGAAUAUUGCACAAUGGGCGCAAGCCUGAUGCAGCCAUGCCGCGUGUAUGAAGAAGGCCUUCGGGUUGUAAAGUACUUUCAGCGGGGAGGAAGGGAGUAAAGUUAAUACCUUUGCUCAUUGACGGUACCCGCAGAAGAAGCACCGGCUAACUCCGUG
This 490-nucleotide ribosomal RNA is filed under the name uncultured bacterium. RNAcentral describes it as "partial 16S ribosomal RNA". It matches the Rfam family "Bacterial small subunit ribosomal RNA", at positions 30 to 507 of the family's 1533-position model. The record is from RNAcentral.